UAAUCUGACGUGAUCACCUCAAGCCCAGCCCCAGCCAUCAACGUCUCUCCUCUCUUGUCUCUUUCUCGUCACUCUCUCCCUCAAGCUUAAGCUCAAGCCUGUCACAGUCUUACCUCUCGUCUCCGGUCUCUCACUUCUCUCUCGGUCUCGCACUCAGUCGCCGCCUUCCCUGCGCUCGCUUCGCACUCAAGCACUCGGGUGGUGGUGGUCGUCGUCUUCUUGCUUCGCCGUCAGUUCGGUCGAUCAGCUUCCUUCACCGUCGGUCCCUGUGCAGGUUUUUGCUGAAAAUGAAUUCGCUGGGUGUUAGACUUGCGAAGCAUCUUCGUAUCUCUUCUCUGAGCUCCUCUUCCCAUGCAGUUGGAAUGACGAGGACGGGAACACAGUGGUACUCAACAUUGUUAACUGAAAGUGACAAUGAUGAGGGCUUAAAUGAUAGGGUUAAUGAUGAUCGAAAGAACGAAGAACUGGAUGAUGAAUUUGAUGAUUUUCUUGGUAGCAAGCCCGAUCUUGAACUGCAGGGUGUGGAUCCAAAGAGGGGUUGGGGAUUUCGGGGAGUGCACAAGGCAAUAAUAUGUGGAAAAGUUGGCCAAGUCCCUGUACAAAAGAUAUUGAGGAAUGGGAAGAAUGUAACGAUCUUUACGGUUGGGACUGGGGGAAUGUCUGACCAGAGAAUCACGAGAGAAGUGGAUAUGCCAAGACCUGCUCAAUGGCAUCGCAUUGCUGUGCAUAAUCACAUCCUUGGGGCCUAUGCAGUACAACAACUUUUUAAAAACUCUUCAGUUUAUGUUGAGGGUGACAUUGAGACUAGAGUUUAUAAUGAUAGCAUCAAUGGUGAAGUCAAAAGCAUUCCUGAGAUAUGUGUACGUCGUGAUGAUAAGAAAGACUGAAAGCUAGGUCCCCAUAGGGUGCACUGGCUCUUCCUGGCGUUCAGAAAGUACCUACAGUGCUUAUGUUUAUUAAAGAAAGGAGGGAAAUUUCUCGGGAGAAGGAUGGCUUAUCCAAAAUUUAACCCAACUCAUAUCUUAGAUGAUUUGUUUCAUCAUCAUGAGUGAAAGCUAAUUGCUUAUUUACAGGAAACUUCGUCUCAUAAAGGGAGGAGAGAGCAUUGAUACAAAUUCAUUGGAUGAAUUGCGAGAAGGGUUGUUUUAGCAGAAACCUGGAAAGUGGAAAGAUUUUGGUGAAAAUGUUAUUCAUGGAAUGGAAAGCACGUGCUUUGUAAGAAUCACAUCUCUGUAGUGAGUAGCAGCAUUUUUAAUGAACAAUAUAAAGAAUGCUUUGCCUUGUUCAUUAUUAUUUUAUCUUUCAGCGUUCUGGAUUUCAGUUUCCCAUAUUCUUUUAAUAUAUGGGAAAGUGCAGAAGAACGGUUUUUUCCCCCUAUAACAAAUCAUGUAAACAUGAAUAUGAAUGAUACUAAUCAAGUAACACUUAACGUCUA
Non-coding RNA from Arachis ipaensis, 1435 nucleotides. The record is from RefSeq and is a predicted model, not a curated record. Lineage: Eukaryota; Viridiplantae; Streptophyta; Magnoliopsida; Fabales; Fabaceae.